Listeriaceae bacterium FSL A5-0209 is the source of this 75-nucleotide non-coding RNA. Lineage: Bacteria; Bacillati; Bacillota; Bacilli; Caryophanales; Listeriaceae. The record is from Rfam.
CAAGGUAUAGCUCAGUUUGCGCAGAGUACUCGCCUUGGACGCGAGAGGUCGCAGGUUCGAGUCCGGCUACCCUGA